CUGAGACAACUGCCCUAUGGGUAGAACUCACACCCUUGAAUACAAUACCAUUUGUUGCUUUGGCGGGCCACAGGCUUUUGCACAUGGACUUCGGUUCGUGAGUGCCCGCCAGAGAACCCUAAACUCUUGUUUACAGUGUCGUCUGAGUACUAUAUAAUAGUUA
RNAcentral lists this unclassified non-coding RNA (163 nucleotides) under uncultured Hyaloscyphaceae. RNAcentral's name for it is "sequence contains ITS1". Lineage: Eukaryota; Fungi; Ascomycota; Leotiomycetes; Helotiales. The record is from RNAcentral.